CAUUAGUAGCCCUCCCUGGGUUCUGGCUUCUCACUCCACACAUUCUCCCUGAUUAUCUUAUCCUCAUUCCCAGCUGGAACCACCACCUCACUCCGACCCAGAUCACUCUUUUAAGCUCUAACUGCCCACAACUGCCCAUGGGACACAUCUUCUUAGUUGUUCCACAGGCACCUCAAAAUCACCAUCUUGUUAACCAGUUUUCCUGUCCUCUUACCUAAACCCAGUCUCAUCUCCCCCAUCAAAUCAGUCACCAAAGGUGAAUGGCUCAAGGAACAAAUAUGAUCCAAGCUGAACCAAGCAGAUUCUACUAAGAAUUUACAAUGAGGACCCAGAAGAUUCUAAACAGUGUUGCUCCUCAGAGGGUGAAAACUUGGGUGUGUACAGAACCACCCUGGAAUGACAGCAGGUUUAGCAAGCUGAAUGAGGCCUGUAUCCUACAAAGAAGAAAUGGGAGACUUGUACCCAGGAGGUACAAGGAAACAGAAGCACAGAGAGCUCCAGUUACUUAUCCAAAGUCACACAGGAAGCAAGUUACUGAAUAACUGAGCUGAGAUGUAAAGUCUAGAGCCUGAAGCCUGCUACCUCUGAAGAUGUGUAGGAAGUGCUAAGGGCUCAGGGAGCUGGGGUCCUAAAUCAACUCUCCAACUUUAUCUUUAUCCCUGGUUGCAUCAAAGUGGCCAUAAUUAACUCCUUACUGUUUCCAUAUUCACCACAUUCUUUGUACCUCUGACUGGAAUGCCCUUGCCUUCUUGCCCACCUAACAAUUAAAAUAAUAACAUUGUUGAACAUCUGUUGUAUAUGCUGUGACUGUUUUGUGUGCUUGAUAUGUAUUUGCUCCUUAAUCUUCAAUGACCACCUCUUGAGUUGGGUAUUAUUAUUAUGACUAUUAUUAUGAUUAUUAUUCUUAUCCAUUAAAAGGUAUGCUAUAG
Molecule: long non-coding RNA, 929 nt
Organism: Bos taurus (domestic cattle)
Lineage: Eukaryota; Metazoa; Chordata; Mammalia; Artiodactyla; Bovidae
Source: Ensembl